CUGUUCAAGUUUAAGUUUGGGUGCAGUUACUGAAGCGUUCAGAGGUUUUUGUACAGUCGCUCUAUUAGUUUGUAUCACUGUGGUGGACUUUCGGCAGCGGCACCAGACUGGAUGUUGGCAGCCUCACUCCUCCUAAAGUGAGCGUCCUGCCGCCCUCCAGUGAAGAGAUCUCCACAAAGAAAACAGCAACACUGAUGUGUGUGCUCAACAAGGGUUUCCCCUCAGACUGGAGUGUGA
Molecule: long non-coding RNA, 237 nt
Organism: Triplophysa rosa
Lineage: Eukaryota; Metazoa; Chordata; Actinopteri; Cypriniformes; Nemacheilidae
Exons: 3
Source: RefSeq, a predicted model, not a curated record